AGGAUCCUACGGGAGGCAGCAGGAGGGAAUUUUCGUCAAUGGGCGCAAGCCUGAACGAGCGAUGCCGCGUGAGUGAAGAAGGCCUUCGGGUCGUAAAGCUCUGUUGCGGGGGAAAAAAGGCAGCAUCAGGAAAUGGGUGCUGACUGGUGGUGCCCCGCCAGAAAGUCACGGCUAACUACGUGCCAGCAGCCGCGGUAAUACGUAGGUGGCGAGCGUUAUCCAGAAUGAUUGGGCGUAAAGGGUGCGCAGGCGGUCCUGCAAGUCUGGAGUGAA
This 273-nucleotide ribosomal RNA is filed under the name uncultured bacterium. Its description in RNAcentral is "partial 16S ribosomal RNA". It matches the Rfam family "Bacterial small subunit ribosomal RNA", at positions 333 to 598 of the family's 1533-position model. The record is from RNAcentral.